AUGAACGCUGGCGGCGUGCCUAAUACAUGCACGUCGAGCGAAUGGAUUAAGAGCUUGCUCUUAUGAAGUUAGCGGCGGACGGGUGAGUAACACGUGGGUAACCUGCCCAUAAGACUGGGAUAACUCCGGGAAACCGGGGCUAAUACCGGAUAACAUUUUGAACCGCAUGGUUCGAAAUUGAAAGGCGGCUUCGGCUGUCACUUAUGGAUGGACCCGCGUCGCAUUAGCUAGUUGGUGAGGUAACGGCUCACCAAGGCAACGAUGCGUAGCCGACCUGAGAGGGUGAUCGGCCACACUGGGACUGAGACACGGCCCAGACUCCUACGGGAGGCAGCAGUAGGGAAUCUUCCGCAAUGGACGAAAGUCUGACGGAGCAACGCCGCGUGAGUGAUGAAGGCUUUCGGGUCGUAAAACUCUGUUGUUAGGGAAGAACAAGUGCUAGUUGAAUAAGCUGGCACCUUGACGGUACCUAACCAGAAAGCCACGGCUAACUACGUG
Molecule: ribosomal RNA, 498 nt
Filed under: uncultured bacterium
Lineage: Bacteria
Description: partial 16S ribosomal RNA
Rfam family: Bacterial small subunit ribosomal RNA
Source: RNAcentral